UGUGUGUGUGUGUGUGUGUGUGUGUGUGUGUGUGUGUGUGUGUGUGUGUGUUCAUCUCUCACCCAUAUCACCACACAAAAGGUAUGUCCACGUAUCUAUAUAAUCUAUGUAAACCCCUUGAUAUAUACAUUCACUCAGUCACUAUAGGCCAUAAUGCAUAUAAACACCCCUAUCAGUAACCGCCUAACUACCAUCAGCCUUACCAAUUGUUAACUACCCCGCGUUGUUACGUGAUGAACAGCAUCUUGUCGGUCGUCCCAGCCUCUCGUCACCCUUUCCCCGCUGGACUCUGGGUAAAGACGUGACCAACCCCCAGCCUCCAGCCUCUUGUCACACCUCCAAGCCUUUCCCCGCUGGACAUUGCUUCGAGACGUGAUGAACAACAACAGCCUCCAGCAUUUGCCACACCUCCGAGCCUCUCUCCUCGUCAUUUGCCCGGUGGACCCUGGACGAGGAGGACGUGAGGAAGAGGAGGUGAAGAUGAAGACGAGGAAUAAGUGAAACUCCUAAAUGACUGACUCUUCGAUGUCUGAGACGACCCACCCUGCCCUGCGUUAUGACCUCCCAGCAUAAAUUGAAACCGUGCGCUGAAUGGAUGACUUUUCAAUACUGGAGGUCCACUCCCUGACGCCCCGCCCUGCCCCGCCCCGCACGUCAUGACCUGCCCCGGCGUCAGUUGG
This is a long non-coding RNA of Eriocheir sinensis (Chinese mitten crab), 680 nucleotides long. RefSeq lists it as uncharacterized. The record is from RefSeq and is a predicted model, not a curated record. The transcript is spliced from 3 exons. NCBI's taxonomy places the organism in Eukaryota, Metazoa, Arthropoda, Malacostraca, Decapoda, Varunidae.